GGGAUUUUAGUAUAAUAGUGAAUAUAUAUGACUUUUAAUUAUUAAGAUAUUAGUUUGAAUCUAGUAGAUUUUA
Molecule: transfer RNA, 73 nt
Filed under: Colletotrichum orbiculare MAFF 240422
Lineage: Eukaryota; Fungi; Ascomycota; Sordariomycetes; Glomerellales; Glomerellaceae
Rfam family: tRNA
About the family: Transfer RNA (tRNA) molecules are approximately 80 nucleotides in length. Their secondary structure includes four short double-helical elements and three loops (D, anti-codon, and T loops).
Source: Rfam by way of RNAcentral